Molecule: ribosomal RNA, 835 nt
Filed under: uncultured bacterium
Lineage: Bacteria
Description: bacterial SSU rRNA
Rfam family: Bacterial small subunit ribosomal RNA
Source: RNAcentral
AAUAAACGCUGGCGGCGUGCCUAACACAUGCAAGUCGAACGGGAAAGUGGGGCAACCCGUGAGUAUAGUGGCGUACGGGUGAGUAACACGUGGAUAAUCUACCUUCUAGUGGGGAAUAACCUUGGGAAACUGGGGACAAUACCGCAUAAGCUCGAGAGAGGAAAGCAGCAAUGCGCUGAGGGAGGAGUCCGCGGCCGAUUAGCUAGUUGGCAGGGUAAAAGCCUACCAAGGCAAAGAUCGGUAGCCGGCCUGAGAGGGCACACGGCCACACUGGCACUGAAACACGGGCCAGACUCCUACGGGAGGCAGCAGUGGGGAAUCUUGCACAAUGGGGGAAACCCUGAUGCAGCGACGCCGCGUGAGCGAUGAAGCCCUUCGGGGUGUAAAGCUCUUUCGGCAGGGAAGAUGGUGACGGUACCUGCAGAAGCAGCUGCGGCUAACUACGUGCCAGCAGCCGCGGUAAUACAUAGGCAGCAAGCGUUGUUCGGAGUUACUGGGCGUAAAGGGUGUGUAGGCGGUUGUUUAAGUUUGGUGUGAAAUCUCCCGGCUCAACUGGGAGGGUGCGCCGAAUACUGAAUGACUAGAGUGCGGGAGAGGAAAGUGGAAUUCCUGGUGUAGCGGUGAAAUGCGUAGAUAUCAGGAGGAACACCGGUGGUGUAGACGGCUUUCUGGACCGUAACUGACGCUGAGACACGAAAGCGUGGGUAGCAAACAGGAUUAGAUACCCUGGUAGUCCACGCCCUAAACGAUGCAUAUUUGGUGUGGGCAGUUCAUUCUGUCUGUGCCGGAGCUAACGCGUUAAAUAUGCCGCCUGGGGAGUACAGUCGCAAGGCUG